CCUACGGGUGGCUGCAGUCGAGAAUCAUUCACAAUGGGGGAAACCCUGAUGGUGCGACGCCGCGUGGGGGAAUGAAGGUCUUCGGAUUGUAAACCCCUGUCAUGUGGGAGCAAAUUAAAAAGAUAGUACCACAAGAGGAAGAGACGGCUAACUCUGUGCCAGCAGCCGCGGUAAUACAGAGGUCUCAAGCGUUGUUCGGAAUCACUGGGCGUAAAGCGUGCGUAGGCUGUUUCGUAAGUCGUGUGUGAAAGGCGCGGGCUCAACCGGCGGACGGCACAUGAUACUGGGAGACUAGAGUAAGGGAGGGGGAAGCGGAAUUCGCGGUGUAGCAGUGAAAUGCGUAGAUAUCGAGAGGAACACUCGUGGCGAAGGCGGGUUCCUGGACAUUAACUGACGCUGAGGCGCGAAGGCCAGGGGAGCGAAAGGGAUUAGAUACCCCUGUAGUC
Molecule: ribosomal RNA, 446 nt
Filed under: uncultured bacterium
Lineage: Bacteria
Description: partial 16S ribosomal RNA
Rfam family: Bacterial small subunit ribosomal RNA
Source: RNAcentral